Culicoides brevitarsis is the source of this 2505-nucleotide RNA transcript. It is a transcript of the gene named sex determination protein fruitless-like, with no coding region annotated. The record is from RefSeq and is a predicted model, not a curated record. The transcript is spliced from 4 exons. Lineage: Eukaryota; Metazoa; Arthropoda; Insecta; Diptera; Ceratopogonidae.
UGCGGUACGGAGUGGAUGUGUUUUUGUCACAACAGAGCAAAUUUCCUUCACGCAAAACAUUGUCUCGAAAUUAAAAGUAAAAAAAGUGUUUGUCAAAUCCAUCGCGCAGCACAAUUUCAUGUGCAUCCGUUGUGUCGUCUCGUAAUUUUCUGUUCGCGACACCGUUAAAAAUCCGAGAAAAAUGGAAGAAUUCGCCUUGUGCUGGAACAACUUUCAGGAGAACCUCGCGAGCGGCUUUCAGAAUCUCCUCGAUCGCGGAGAUCUCGUCGAUGUCACAAUUGCCGUCGAAAAUCGCCUCAUCCAGGCACACAAAAUCGUCCUUGCCAUCUGUUCGCCAUACUUCCAGGAGAUGUUUCAACAGAACCCGUGCAAGCAUCCGAUAAUCAUCCUGAAAGAUGUCAGUUACUCCGUGAUGUCUGAACUUUUGCAGUUCAUGUAUCAAGGCGAAGUGAAUGUCAAGCACAUCGAAUUGCCAACUUUCAUGAAAAUUGCCGAAACGCUCCAAAUCAAGGGUCUGACAACCCCUUCGUCGUCGUCGUCAAAAAGUCCCGCGAUGCAUUCGUUAUCUCAUCAUCGUCGUUCGCCGCUUGCCCAUAUGUCGGCGUCACAAUCGCAGCCGCAACACUUGCCAAACAAGAAUAUCAGCUCGUGCGACAGCAAUUUGUCGUCGCCGCAACCUCCGUCGUCGUACAUCGCGACAAAUAACAACAACAACAACCAAAGUGUGAAACUCGAAACGCCGGGCUCCAGUCAAAAACGCGAUUACGGCGCAAAUAACGCAGCAGCGGAUGCGUAUUAUGCCAAAGCAGCAAAAAUUGCCAAACGAUCUGUGGGAAGUAGCGAUGUGACGGAAAAUAGUAAUGGGCCUGAGAUGAACGAUUCGAUGGAUAAUAUGGGAGAUGAUGUGUUUAUGCCGCCAAUUCCGCAGAUAAGUAUGAGCGAAGGAGGGCGAUUUGACUUGAAUAACGUGAAACGAGAGAAUCCCGAGAGUGCAGCAAGUCCCGCGCCGCGUCAACAAUACUAUGAGCAGUACAAUAAUGCAACAAGUGGCGCAAGCAGCAGUAGCGGAUACACGCCGAGCAAGGAAUAUGCAAACGAUAUGCACGAUUUUGGCAAUAACAAAGGGCAUCAUAUGGAAAUUCCGCCGGGCAUCAACAACAUUACGAUGCUCUCGUCGACGUCUCUCUUGCACGGCAAUUGCAUUUUCAAUCGAAACAACACCGUGGCGACGCAACAAGGCAUGAAAACUUACUGGCUUUGCAAAUCGUAUCGCAUCACGAUGUGUCGAGCACGUUGCAUCACGCAUCAAGGACGUGUUAUCUCAGCGACGGGCGUUCAUAAUCACUCGCCACACAUGAAAAAUGGCCCGGGCAGCGAAAAUACCGAUCCAAAUCAACCGCCGCCGCAACCAAUUGUGAUAUCAUCAUCUGCUGUUGCCGUUUCUCUUCCUCCGCCGCCUUCGGCAAUUCAAUCGUCGUCUCUUGCAUCACGAAUUUCUACCUCAAUGGCACAUCAUGGGCCUCCGCCGCCGCCCAAUUCGCAAUUUCCGCCGCCAAAUAUGCCGCAAAGUCAUCAUUUACCGAUUUCCGCUGUGCCUGGCAUGCCUCCGAAUCAUCAACAUCCGCACAUGACACAUUCUUCGCAUCCGCCAUCGUCUCAAGGAAUGCCUCCGAUGUUAAAUCCGCCGCCCAUGCAUCCCGCCAUUCAUCAACAAAUGCAUCCGCAUCACUUGCUGACGAACAUUCAUCCGCCCCCGAGUUUGCAAAUUACGCCUGUCGUCAAUAACGGAGCGAGGAUGGCGCCUCCUUUGUCGCAGCCCUUGAUGCAAACGAUGCAAAAUGCGACGCAGCACGAUUCGCCGUCGCCAAAUAACAAUCACCAAAGCCUUAUGCCGCAAAACGCGUUGCAAAGUCACAACGAAGACAGUCAAACGACGAUGAGUGACGGGCAUGCAGGACAUGAACAAGAGAAUAUGCAACAGAUGCAAAUGGAGAUGACAAAUUCGCAGCAGCAGCAACAACAACAAAUGGCGAAUAAUUACAAAAUGGAGCACGGAAUGUAGUUUUAUGGCAAAAAGCUUGCUUGUUGUUGAUAAUUUGUUGAUUUUUGACAAAAAUUUUGUGAAAAACGAUUUUUUUUCACAAAAUUAGGUUGAAGCAAUGAGGAAAAAUUCAAAAAAAAAUCUUGUUAAAUGUUAAUUUAUUACUUUUUUCGUUCAUAUUUUGUUCCUCGAUGAGCUUUUACCGCAAGAGCUCGACUUAUUUUCUUUCCGGCAAAAGUAUUUAAGUAAGUGUUAACUAUUUAGAUUUAGUUAUUUAUUAAUUUUGGGCCUCAUUUGCAUGCAAAAAAUGAUUUUAUGGAAGAAAAAUCUGUAUUUAAGGCUAAAAAAUAAAGAAAAAAAAAACAAAAAGGUAAAAAAUUCAAUUUUUAAUGUAAAAUUCACGCAUAAAAGGGUUUGUAUUGUAUCGAAGGUGCAUGAAAUUUGUUUGUAUUGUCCUCAAAUUU